CCCACAGGUGUGGGAGGUGUGGCUGUGUAAAUCACAGCCCUAGGGGAGUGACAAAGGAGAUUCCCCUUCUACCUUCCCUAGGAUGUCCCUGGGAAUUUCACAGAGCCACGUAGCCCAGGUCCCUUAACUGUGCUAGGAGUCCUAGGGAAGUUUAUCUCUAUUCAGGGGCAACCAGACAGGAAAAAGCUGCCAGUGGAGGAGGCGUUAGAGUCCUUUACAGUCAUCUUCUCCUUGGAAGCCCCUGCAGAGCAGAGGCUGGAAGAGCUGCCUUCUCUGCCUGCAACAUCUGCAAUAUCCCCACCUCCUUGCCAGGCCUGUGGGCACCAUUUUUCCUUAAAGAAGCGUGGAGCAUACAGAGGACAGUCAGUCUUGUUGUGGGGGGAAACAUGGUGAAGGACAAAGGACAAGCUCAUGAUGCCUGUCCUGGUACUAAGAGAAGAUAG
RNAcentral lists this long non-coding RNA (443 nucleotides) under Chloebia gouldiae (Gouldian finch). Its description in RNAcentral is "Erythrura gouldiae (Gouldian finch) lncRNA (ENSEGOG00005015375.1)". Lineage: Eukaryota; Metazoa; Chordata; Aves; Passeriformes; Passeridae. The record is from RNAcentral.